CCUACGGGUGGCAGCAGUGGGGAAUAUUGCACAAUGGGGGAAACCCUGAUGCAGCGACGCCGCGUGAGUGAAGAAGUAUUUCGGUACGUAAAGCUCUAUCAGCAGGGAAGAAAAUGACGGUACCUGACUAAGAAGCCCCGGCUAACUACGUGCCAGCCGCCGCGGUAAUACGUAGGGGGCAAGCGUUGUCCGGAUUUACUGGGUGUAAAGGGAGCGUAGACGGUAGCGCAAGUUUGGAGUGAAAUCCCAUGGCUUAACCAUGGAAACGCUUUGGAAACUGUGCAGCUAGAGUGCAGGAGAGGUAAGCGGAAUUCCUAGUGUAGCGGUGAAAUGCGUAGAUAUUAGGAGGAACACCAGUGGCGAAGGCGGCUUACUGGACUGUAACUGACGUUGAGGCUCGAAAGCGUGGGGAGCAAACAGGAUUAGAUACCCUUGUAGUC
This 440-nucleotide ribosomal RNA is filed under the name uncultured bacterium. Its description in RNAcentral is "partial 16S ribosomal RNA". It matches the Rfam family "Bacterial small subunit ribosomal RNA", at positions 338 to 795 of the family's 1533-position model. The record is from RNAcentral.